This 651-nucleotide ribosomal RNA is filed under the name Pseudohynobius flavomaculatus (yellow-spotted salamander). Its description in RNAcentral is "partial 12S ribosomal RNA". It matches the Rfam family "Bacterial small subunit ribosomal RNA", at positions 555 to 1533 of the family's 1533-position model. The record is from RNAcentral. Lineage: Eukaryota; Metazoa; Chordata; Amphibia; Caudata; Hynobiidae.
ACGGCCUAAAGCGUGGUUAGAUAAUAUUAAAAUUAAUAGAAAUAAAAAUUAACUUAACUGUCGCACGUACUUGUUAAGAGGAAGCCUAAAAACGAAAGAUAUUCUAAUAAGCAAAUUACUUGAACCCACGAAAGCUAAGGAACAAACUAGGAUUAGAUACCCUAUUAUGCUUAGCCUUAAACUUUGGAACCCCCGCCUGAGUACUACGAGCCAUAGCUUAAAACUCAAAGGACCUGGCGGUGCUCUACACCCCCCUAGAGGAGCCUGUUCUAUAAUUGAUACCCCCCGCUAAACCUCACCACUUAUUGCCAAUCCCGCCUAUAUACCGCCGUCGUCAGCUCACCAUUUAAAUGAUCAAUAGUAAGCAUAAUGAUAAACAUAAAAACGUCAGGUCAAGGUGUAGCGAAUUAAGUGGAAAGAAAUGGGCUACAUUUUUUAUACAAAAAAAUACGAAAAAUUUUAUGAAAAAGGAUUUAAAGGUGGAUUUAGCAGUAAAAGGAAAUUAGAGUGUUCUUUUUAAACAGGCCCUAGAGCGCGCACACACCGCCCGUCACCCUCCUCAGAAAAACAACUUAUAAUAUAUAAACAUAAAAAUAAAAGAGGAGGUAAGUCGUAACAUGGUAAGUUUACCGGAAGGUGUACUUGGAUUAU